This 5513-nucleotide long non-coding RNA is filed under the name Heterocephalus glaber (naked mole-rat). Its description in RNAcentral is "lncRNA (ENSHGLG00000040953.1)". Lineage: Eukaryota; Metazoa; Chordata; Mammalia; Rodentia; Bathyergidae. The record is from RNAcentral.
CCAGCCUAUGCGGCCCGGCCCGGCCCGGCCUCCGAUCGGGCCCGCUCCCCCGCCCGCGCCCCGCCCGCACCGAGCACCCGAAGCGCGGGAGCGCGCGCGCCCUACGGGCCGCACCAUCGUACAGGCCGCUGGGGGAGGAGCUCCCGGGAGCAAUCCAGACGCUGGCGCCAAGAAGAGCCUCUCCUACAGCCUGCGGCCCCAAAGGACACAGACACCAGCGCACCCUGCUCCGCAGACGUACAGCCGGAUGCCAUUUCCCUCCUAUGAGCCUGCCGCGGGCACGGGGAAUCCGGCUCCCCCCGCGGGCCGCACUGAGCUCGUCCGGGGGCGGGGGCGGACGGCCCCUACCGUCACCCCACGCGGCCUCGGUCUGCGCAGGCGCGCAGAGGGGGUGGACUCUUGGCCGGGGCGACGGCUACGGCGACUUGGUGGAGCGAGUGUCGCGACGUCCUGCCGCCGAGCGAGGAGCGCCUCCUGGGCCUGCCCAACCACGGCUUUGGGCCACGGGUGUGCGUCCACUCGCCGAGACACCUGACGACCGCGGCCGAGGGGGAAGGCAGCGCAGACGGGGCGCUCCCCGGUGUCGCUGGGCUGCGGGGGUCGGGACAGGGUCCAGAAGCCUUUGAUGCAAAUGUUAGCCGGCCGGUCAAAGCGAAGACGACGCCUUUGCAGUCCUCCGUGACACCGCGAUGCGAUAGCUCCGUCACGUUGAGGCUCAAGCUGGCCUGUGUCCUGUUACUGGAGUUCGUGGUGAAAAGCGGCCCUGGAGGUGAACGUCGUCGGCCGGUUCCUUGGCCACUUUGGUUAUCUUUUGAUUUGUACGGGUGUGAGUGAUUUUGCCAGAGCAAACCUUUGUGGUCCAGCAGCUGGGAAGCAAGAGGAAGACCUGAAAACCAAUGUUUUGCUGUCAGAGUGGGGUGAGAGGAUGAAGCUAAAACUAGAAAUACUGGACCAUAUUUGGUAUUGAUUUAAGCCAAAUUGCACACUAAAUACUACACAUAAUAAUAAAAGAGUUAUCACAGCCUGCAAGACAUAGUGGCACAUGCUUGUAAUCCUAGCACUCUGAGAGGCUGAGACAGGAGGAUCAAAAUUUGGACCCUAGCCUGGGCAACUUAGGGACUCAGCAAAACCCUGUCUCAAAAAAAAAAGUCUUGGGAUGUAGCUUAGUGCAAAGGGCAUGGGUUCAAUCACCAGUACUGCAAAAAAAAAAAAAAAAAAUUUAAUCAUAGUGUAAUAGUGACCGUGUUACCAGUCACUUAGGUUUGUUUGCUCACUGCUGGUCCAAUCAAAGGAGGCCAUUAAUUUUGGUAAAAAGACAAAAGCAUUUAUUCAAAGCAAGCUCCAAGGUGAUGGAAGGGCUCAUUUCCCUCAAAUCACCAUCUCACUAUGUACAGUUGUGUCCGAGGCUUUUCUUAUUAGGAACGGAGGAGAGGGAACAUAAAAUAGACAUGUGCAAGUUGGAUCCAUCCUUUUCUGGACACAGACCUCCCUCCCUUCCCUGUGGAAGUGAAACUGGACUUUGAGGUCCUCAUACCAGAAUCUGCUUACUCUGUCCAUGCACCUGGCUGACCUCCCAAUUGGGCAAUCUUCCUGCCUCAUCUUCUCUACACUCAGCACACCCGUAGUCCCUCCCCUCUCAAGAGCCUGCCCUUUUUAUAGCCUCGGGCUGAGGGUGCAGCACUCCAGAUAGGACCCCUGUAGAUCCCUGGCUGAUCAUCUUAUUCCCCUAUACACACUGGUAACACUGGAACAAGGUGACAUCAGUGUAGAAGGGGUGAAAUCUGUGUGUCAGACCCCUGCCCAACAGAAGAGAAAAACUUCCCAGGCAACAAGGCACAAAGGAUAGCAGGAAGCCAAGGCCUGGGUUCAAGAUAGCCCACGCCAUGCAGCAGCACCCUGGAGACCACAAAACUUCCUCCACCCCAGAACAAAAGACUUCCUCCACUGCAGGUCAAAAUUGUCCACUCCUCCUGGCACUAUCCCUCCGUUGCCCAAUUCCCCUAUAAAGUGUCCCCUUGUGCAGGCCCCCGUGGUCAAUAGCUUUGUUGCCCUUGACUAGCCUGCACCCAGGCUGAAAAUAAAACCUGGUUUGUUGCUUCAUUUUUGCCUGGUCUGGUGGUCUCAGUCAUGCCUCAGUUUACCCUAACACUGUGGACACAGCAGGCCCUGGUCCAGAGCAAUAGGGCCCUCCCUGCCUGAUAGGCUGAUGUUGAAAGGAGCCCACCUGGUUUAGGGGAUGUUCCUGUUAUUCCACCUCCACCACCAGAUAGCUUUCACUAAAUUCCAUUGCAGCAACCCAGUUUCUAACCCACUCAGGGAGGAGAAACCGCAGAGGAGCUGGCACGGAAUCACUUCCUCAUGGACAGAUGAGAACCACCUGUAAUCCCAGCACUUAGGUGGCUGAGGCAGGAGGUUCGCUAUGAGUUCAAAGCCAGCCUGGCCUACAUAGUGAGCUCAAGACCAACCUGGAAUACAUAGUGAGACCUUGUGUCAAAAAAGAACCCAUGAGUGAAAUCCUUUCUCCUCCCACUUGUGAAACCCAAGUCCCCAGGCUCAUCAGAAGAACCUCUUGGGCUGAGUACCAGAGUCUCCUUGCCCCGCCAGUUUGGUGACAUGUCCCUCCAGCCCUGUUUUGGCCCCUUGGCUGCUUUCCCAGCUGUGCUCUUUCACACAGCCUUUGUCUCCACAGAUUGGAGAAACCAGACCAAAGCAAGUCCUGUGGGCAAGUAAAAGUUCAGGGAGACCUGUGAUCCCACAGAAAAGGAAAGGGUGAUCGGCAACAAGGGACGAGGAUCUAAUGCAGCGGAAAAGUGGUUUUGCAUUCUUUGUCUUUUUGUUGGGCUGGUUUCUGCCUGUGGUUAAAACAUGGAUCCCUUCACACUUAGGAGAGAUGAUGCCAGCGUCAGGAUAAUGCUGCAGUUUCUGGUGCAUCACCACAGACUUUUAUUAUUCAAAGCAAGUUAAUCUGCCAACAAGUAAUUCAUUUCCUCCAGGAUCCCUGCCCAGAAUGCUUCCACCAAUUGAUGGUUCUUGAAAGAUUAAUAUUCUUCAUACUAUGGUAUCUUGCUUUUUCUCUGUGGCAGCUCAAUUACUGUGAGCAUUUACUUUGCCCCAAUAAGGAGCACAUGUUUCAGUGGCAUUGGGGUACAUCUGGAAGCUGCCCUUGUUCAGGUUCUGUGGAGCCAGCAGGAGAGGCCAGGCAAGGUGACUCAUUCACAUGUCCUAUCACGAAGAAUUGGGAAUCCACUCAGGAAUUGCUUCUCUUACCAAAUAGUUUCUUUUAACACAUCAGAUCUUUCCAAGUUUGGGUCUGAUGUUGACAUAAUCCAACUUUCAAGGACUGGAGAUGACAUGCAUGCCCAGGAAAUAACAAAAUGCAUUCUAAGUUGGAAGUGGCCAGCCUAAAGGGUGAUGGAAAAUUUCUAUUGCUUCAUUUAUGGCCUUGGAAGUGUAUGAAAAAAACUGUUAUUGUGAAUUGCAUUGAUCAUUUAAUUAAAAGUACCCAGCUGCAUUGAUGGGUCAGAUGAACACAUUUGUUUACAGUCACCAGAGUGAAGAAAUUUGGGGGAGGAAAUUGUGACUACAUUUCCGCCAGAGUUCCUGGGUUCCAGGUAGGAGGAGUAAGUACACAGAGAAACAACAGAGUCCUGAAACUCGGGAAAUUCCACAAAUUGGUGCCUCUUGCCUUCUGUAGGCAAAACCCAUGUUUACAGAAGACCUCCUCUGCUAUCGAGUGAUUUGAGGACCUGGAUUUUGGGGAGUCUGAAUUUGCUUCCCUCUUCAGAUGCCCUUGUCAAUUGCAUGUGGCAUGAGAAUGAUCGCAGAACCCUAAAAUUACUAACCAGAUACCUGUUUGGAUGUUUUUAAGCUUAGAAAUACAAUGUCCAAUGGCAAUGCAAGCACAACCUUUUGCUCAUUUGGCUGUUGCUCUGAGACUUCCCCAGAGAUUACAAAUUUAUGUCCAAGAGUCAUGUUGACAAGGUAUGGCAGGUUGGGUCUAUAAAAAGAGAGGAGCUUGUUUGCAAAAUAUGUUUUUAUCUGUUGGUUCACCAGCUAAUUGAGAUCUGAGACAGAGUCUGGUUCCCGCCCUUACCACACUGACAAACGUUUUAACAGUUUUCUCCAACUUGAGCUCCUGGUUUGGUAGUCCUACUUAAGUCUAUUUCUGCCUCCAAAAGGUAGAUUCAGUCACAUUUCUUUUUUGGAAAAUAUAAAAGACAAGAAAAGUGAGACCUACUUCAUUUAAGUGGAUUGUCCAUGCUCACAGUUACUGGCAGAGUUUGAGUUGAAUCCAUCCAGCUUUUUGGACUUUUCUCAUUCAUUCUGCAAAGUUGUUUUUAUAGGAAGAAGUUUUGAUUUCACAUAAAGUGAAAUUAGAAAAGAGGCAAACUCUCCAAAAAUAUCCAUACUAUAAAAAUUUAUUUAUGCCCCAAACAGUCCACUGAUUGAUAUUUUGUAUAGCUAAUAUAGAGUCCUCUUUUGAAAUUGAAGUGGAAGAGACAUUGGUUAGAUCUAAAUUUAGAACUUCCUACUUUCAAUGUCUUGUGUCAGUUUUAAUUUUCAGAUUUAAUUAGUUUCCUAAUUAGAAGGGUUAAAUUAAUUAACCUCAUUAUUUACUAUAUAUUUAAUGAUUUCUCCUCUAUAGGGAGAGACUGAAUUUUCAAUAAUUGGAAAGCUUAUGACAAGAGGGAAUAUUGCCAAGUUUUACACUCACUGCUGUGUGAUCAGCAGCCAGCACAGGACAGGUUGAAGGGAAUAUUAGCAAAGGCUACUUCCCACUUGCUCUGAAACAUAAUGCCUGUAAAAAUGUGGACUGGGUCAAUAAUUUCUAUCAAAUUAGAACUCAAUGGAUGUAUCCUUUAUUUGAGAAUAAAGGCUAUCCUCUAACAUAGGCUUUUUUGUUUUUGGUACCAGGGAUCAAACUCACUACCUUGCACUUUUGAGGCAGGCACAGUGCCACUGAGCUAAAUCCCCGGCCCUUAACAUAGACUUUUAUAUUAUAAGAAAUGACUAUUAUACAAUCUUAGUUACAGAAAAUAAUCAUCAAGCAUUGAAAAUAGUAACUAAUUAUAAUGAAAAGGAGAGUUUCUCAAAUUAUCAUCUAGUUUUCUAUUAUCUAUUUUGCAUAAAGCAAUGUUUAGUUUUUUUCUCAGACUUUGUCAAUGGAUUGAAUGGAUGACAUUUUAGGAAGACAGUAAGAUAAUAAGCUUAAUAUGUACUUAUUUGGAACUCAGAUUGACCUUGUUACUUCCCCUUAAUGCAUGCAUAAAUAUAAACGUUGGUGAUACCUGUGUUUUAAUGGAGCAAAAUGUUUUUUUGGAACAAAAAUAAAGGUGUACCUACAAAGGUUGAAUUUGUCUCCUCUUCCCAUUUUGUGAUGGCCUGGAUGGAGGUUGGAGCAGCCAGUCCUCCACAGACAGAACCCCAAGAAGCCAUGACUGCAUGGUCAUGGGGUCUCUUUAGUGCCCAUGAUGCCACCACAGGGGGAGACCUUGACCCACAGAGGUUACAGG